UCGGGAAUUUUGGGCAAUGGGCGAAGGCCUGACCCAGCAACGCCGCGUGAAGGAUGAAGUAUUUCGGUAUGUAAACUUCGAAAGAAUAGGAAGAAUAAAUGACGGUACUAUUUAUAAGGUCCGGCUAACUACGUGCCAGCAGCCGCGGUAAUACGUAGGGACCAAGCGUUGUUCGGAAUCACUGGGCAUAAAGCGCGCGUAGGCGGGACGACAAGUCGGCUGUGAAAUCCCUCAGCUUAACUGAGGAGCUGCAGCCGAUACUGUCAUUCUCGAGGACGAAAGGGGAGAGCGGAACUUCUGGUGAAGCGGUGAAAUGCGUAGAUAUCAGAAGGAACGCCGGUGGCGAAAGCGGCUCUCUGGUUCGUAUCUGACGCUGAGGCGCGAAAGCUUGGGUAGCAAACGGGAUUAGAUACCCAUGUAGUCCCUGAGCGGGCUGGCAAGGCGCAU
This 447-nucleotide ribosomal RNA is filed under the name uncultured bacterium. RNAcentral describes it as "bacterial SSU rRNA". It matches the Rfam family "Bacterial small subunit ribosomal RNA", at positions 355 to 825 of the family's 1533-position model. The record is from RNAcentral.